GACAGAGGUGCCGAGCGUUAGGCGGAAUCACUGGGCUUAAAGCGUGUGUAGGCGGGCCGCUGAGUACCUUGUGAAAUCCCCCGGCUCAACCGGGGAACGGCUGGGUAUACUGGCGGCCUUGAGUCACCUAGGGGCCAGCGGAACAAACGGUGGAGCGGUGAAAUGCGUAGAGAUCUGGAGGAACACCGAUGGCGAAGGCAGCCUUCUGGGCCAACACUGACGCUCAUGCACGAAAGCGUGGGGAGCAAACAGG
Molecule: ribosomal RNA, 253 nt
Filed under: uncultured bacterium
Lineage: Bacteria
Description: partial 16S ribosomal RNA
Rfam family: Bacterial small subunit ribosomal RNA
Source: RNAcentral